ACGAAGGGGGCUAGCGUUGCUCGGAAUCACUGGGCGUAAAGCGCACGUAGGUGGGUCGUUAAGUUGAGGGUGAAAUCCCAGGGCUCAACCCUGGAACUGCCUUCAAUACUGGCGACCUUCGAGUCCGGGAGAGGUGAGUGGAACUGCGAGUGUAGAGGUGAAAUUCGUAGAUAUUCGGAAGAACACCAGUGGCGAAGGCGACUCACUGGACACGUAUUGACGCUGAGGUGCGAAAGCGUGGGGAGCGAACAGGA
Molecule: ribosomal RNA, 254 nt
Filed under: uncultured prokaryote
Description: partial 16S ribosomal RNA
Rfam family: Bacterial small subunit ribosomal RNA
Source: RNAcentral